CUUUUCACCUCCUCCUCCUCCUCCUCCUCCUCUUCCUCCUCUCUGGGGAGGAGGAGGAGGAGGAGGAGGAGGAGGAGGAGUGU
This 83-nucleotide microRNA precursor is filed under the name Xyrichtys novacula (pearly razorfish). Lineage: Eukaryota; Metazoa; Chordata; Actinopteri; Labriformes; Labridae. The record is from RNAcentral.